This 258-nucleotide ribosomal RNA is filed under the name Triticum aestivum (bread wheat). RNAcentral's name for it is "partial small subunit ribosomal RNA". Lineage: Eukaryota; Viridiplantae; Streptophyta; Magnoliopsida; Poales; Poaceae. The record is from RNAcentral.
AUGCUCGUGCUGGUGGCGCUGGUGGCGGCGGCGAUGGCAACGGGCGGAGCGGCGCAGUGCAACGCCGGGAACCUGGCGGUGUGCGCCUCCCCGAUCGUGAGCGGGACCCCGCCGUCCAAGACGUGCUGCAACAACCUAAAGAGUCAGCGGGGGUGCUUCUGCCAGUUCGCGCACAACCGCGCGUACUCCAGCUACAUCAACAGCCCCAACGCCCGCAAGACCCUCGUCAGCUGCGGCGUCCCCGUACCGAAGUGCUAG